Molecule: ribosomal RNA, 363 nt
Filed under: uncultured bacterium
Lineage: Bacteria
Description: partial 16S ribosomal RNA
Rfam family: Bacterial small subunit ribosomal RNA
Source: RNAcentral
CCUACGGGAGGCAGCAGUGAGGAAUAUUGGUCAAUGGGCGUAAGCCUGAACCAGCCAAGUCGCGUGAGGGAUGAAGGCCCUAUGGUUCGUAAACCUCUUUUAUGAGGGGAUAAACUUCAGGACGUGUCCCGUUGUGUAUGUACCUUAUGAAUAAGGAUCGGCUAACUCCGAGCCAGUAGCCGCGGUAAUACGGAGGAUCCGAGCGUUAUCCGGAUUUAUUGGGUUUAAAGGGUGCGUAGGGGGUCUUUUAAGUCAGAGGUGAAAGGCUGGGGCUCAACCAUAGAAUUGCAGUUGAAACUGGGUGGCUUGAGUGUGUUAGAGGCAGGUGGAAUGCGUGGUGUAGCGGUGAAAUGCUUAGAGAUC